Molecule: ribosomal RNA, 430 nt
Filed under: Bacteroidota bacterium
Lineage: Bacteria; Pseudomonadati; Bacteroidota
Description: Bacteroidetes bacterium partial 16S ribosomal RNA
Rfam family: Bacterial small subunit ribosomal RNA
Source: RNAcentral
UAGGGAAUCUUCGGCAAUGGGGGGAACCCUGACCGAGCAACGCCGCGUGAGUGAAGAAGGUUUUCGGAUCGUAAAGCUCUGUUGUUAAGGAAGAACGAGUGUGAGAAUGGAAAGUUCAUACUGUGACGGUACUUAACCAGAAAGGGACGGCUAACUACGUGCCAGCAGCCGCGGUAAUACGGAGGAUACGAGCGUUAUCCGGAUUUAUUGGGUUUAAAGGGUGCGUAGGUGGCUGAUUAAGUCAGUGGUGAAAAGCUAUGGCUCAACCAUAGUCUUGCCGUUGAUACUGGUUAGCUUGAGUGUAGAUGAUGUAGGCGGAACGUGUAGUGUAGCGGUGAAAUGCAUAGAUAUUACGCAGAACUCCGAUUGCGAAGGCGGCUUACAAAACUACUACUGACACUGAGGCACGAAAGCGUGGGUAUCAAACAGG